This 83-nucleotide small RNA is filed under the name Arabidopsis thaliana (thale cress). RNAcentral describes it as "ATSL092150". Lineage: Eukaryota; Viridiplantae; Streptophyta; Magnoliopsida; Brassicales; Brassicaceae. The record is from RNAcentral.
AUCCCGAAAACCCUAAAUUCACUAGAAGACAAGAGACUUGAGGCAGUUUGGAUGAAUGCUCGACCCUUGGGGAUUGAGUGAUA